CCGCGACUGUUUACUAAAAACAUAGCACUCUGCAAACUCGUAAGAGGACGUAUAGGGUGUGACGCCUGCCCGGUGCCGGAAGGUUAAUUGAUGGGGUUAGCGCUUGCGCGAAGCUCUUGAUCGAAGCCCCGGUAAACGGCGGCCGUAACUAUAACGGUCCUAAGGUAGCGAAAUUCCUUGUCGGGUAAGUUCCGACCUGCACGAAUGGCGUAACGACGGCCACACUGUCUCCACCAGGGACUCAGCGAAAUUGAACUCGCUGUUAAGAUGCAGUGUACCCGCGGCUAGACGGAAAGACCCCGUGAACCUUUACUAUAGCUUUGCACUGGACUUUGAAUAUGUUUGUGUAGGAUAGGUGGGAGGCUUUGAAACGAUGACGUCAGUUGUCGUGGAGCCAACCUUGAAAUACCACCCUGGCAUGUUUGAGGUUCUAACCUAGGCCCGUUAUCCGGGUCGGGGACAGUGCAUGGUGGGUAGUUUGACUGGGGCGGUCUCCUCCUAAAGAGUAACGGAGGAGCACAAAGGUACCCUCAGCGCGGUCGGAAAUCGCGCAAUGAGUGCAAAGGCAUAAGGGUGCUUGACUGCGAGACACACACGUCGAGCAGGAACGAAAGUUGGUCUUAGUGAUCCGGUGGUUCUGUAUGGAAGGGCCAUCGCUCAACGGAUAAAAGGUACUCCGGGGAUAACAGGCUGAUUCCUCCCAAGAGUUCAUAUCGACGGGGGAGUUUGGCACCUCGAUGUCGGCUCAUCACAUCCUGGGGCUGUAGCCGGUCCCAAGGGUAUGGCUGUUCGCCAUUUAAAGUGGUACGCGAGCUGGGUUUAGAACGUCGUGAGACAGUUCGGUCCCUAUCUGCCGUGGGCGCUGGAGACUUGAAGGGAGCUGCUCCUAGUACGAGAGGACCGGAGUGGACGUACCUCUGGUGUUCCGGUUGUCACGCCAGUGGCAUUGCCGGGUAGCUAUGUACGGAAAGGAUAACCGCUGAAAGCAUCUAAGCGGG
RNAcentral lists this ribosomal RNA (998 nucleotides) under uncultured Chromatiales bacterium HF0200_41F04. RNAcentral describes it as "bacterial LSU rRNA". It matches the Rfam family "Bacterial large subunit ribosomal RNA", at positions 1794 to 2789 of the family's 2925-position model. The record is from RNAcentral. Lineage: Bacteria; Pseudomonadati; Pseudomonadota; Gammaproteobacteria; Chromatiales.